Long non-coding RNA from Rattus norvegicus (Norway rat), 2736 nucleotides. RefSeq lists it as uncharacterized. Lineage: Eukaryota; Metazoa; Chordata; Mammalia; Rodentia; Muridae. The record is from RefSeq and is a predicted model, not a curated record.
UGGAAGCCAGGCGUGCUGGGAACAUCUGUAGCUACAGCUCUCUGAAAGGCUAAGGCAGGAGACUAUCAAGUUCGAGGCGAGCCUGGGCUACAUUGUGCGAUGAGGUAUCAAAACAAUUUUAGUUGCACCAAGAGGAAGUUUGAGUCUCGUUUUCUCUUUCUGUUGUGAUGAAGUCGGCACUGUGAGUCGCGUGUCUUGGUAAAAUCCUUAUAAUUUUCUCAAAUGCAAGCAUGAAUGGGCCGGCGAGAGGAGAGAUUUUGGGACUCAGCUCUCUCAUCCCACCUUACUGAGUCAGGGUCUGUCCUGUGGUCUCUGAUGAAGUGAAGCUCAGUUUUCCAGGUAGCUGGCCUAAGAGCUUUCAGCCAGCUCUGUCACCAGCUCCCAUCUUCCAACCUGAACUUCGUUCCGGAAUUACGUCACGGUCUUACUUAGGACACCGUUGAAACAAAGCAGGAUACAAGACGUGGUGGGGCAAGCCCAUGAUCCCGGCUCUUUGGCGGCUGAGGCAAUAGGAUAACGAGUUUGAGACAAGCCUGAGUUAUUUUGUGAGUUCUAUAUUUACACAGUAAGACCCUGCCUCAAAAUAAAUACAGGAAGAGAGGAAGGAAGAAAAUGAGAAUGAGUUGUGGGUGGUGGUGGUGGUGAGAGCAUUUUUCUCUGGAGACUGUGUGGCUUGCUCUGGUCACAAGAGGGCACUGUUUCUAUAGCUUGCAACAGUCUUGCAACCGAUGUCUGUGGAACUCAGGAAUGGGAGACAAGAAGUUUGCUGUGACUCCCAGAGUCUGGUUUCGGCAGCGAAGCCCAUUUCAGUGCUCUAGACUGUAUCUGGAGCCUCUCUGCAGGGCGUCUGCGCAGAGACAGGACCAGUAUAUGAAAGCAUCAGUUUCAGGGUUUAAACUAGAGCACAAGAUGAAUGACCUGGAGUACUUCUUGGUUUAGAAGGGAAGUAUUGGAGCUGCGGGGAUGGCUCAGCAGCACACUUGUGGCUCCGGCAGAGAACUCAAGCUUGAUUCCCAGCACCCACAUGGAGGGUUUGAGAGAAUCUGAUAACCUCUUCUGGCUUCUGCAGGCACUACAUGCACAAGGUAUUCUGACAUAGGUAGUCAAGCCACUCAUAAACAUAAAUAUAAAUAAACCUUUAAAAAUGGAAAUAUCCCAUGAUGCUCUGGGAUCCAUCUGAAGCACCCGCUCCCUCAGACCUGCCAGGGACUCAGAACAUACAGAGCCAGUGAACUCAACCGUGGCUAAGCAAGUGAGUGAGUUGUGCUCGACUGCACGGAUCUAACGGGCCUAAAGAAACCAAAAGGGAACUCAAAUUGGUAGAGGCAAGUCUGGACUCAAAAUGGAGGGCUGUGAUAAAGGAACCAGAACAAUUGAGAAAGCUGUUUAUUGGUGGUCUGAGCUUCGAAGCCACAAAUAAUAACUUAAGAGAACGUUUUGAGAAAUGGGGCACUGUUACAGACUGUGUGGUAACGAGGGAUCCCCCAAAUGGAAUGUUCCAGAGGCUUCGAACUUGUGACCUUCUCUUGUGUUGAAGGGUGGAUACUGCGAUGAAUGCUCCACCACACAAAGCUGAUGGUUGUGGUGGAACCGAGGAGCCAUUUCUAGAGAGUCCAAAAAGCCCUGGUGCUCGCUGAACAGUGAAGAAAAACUUUGUAGUAUAAAAGAAAAUACUGAAGAGUAUAAUCGAAAAGACUACUUUGAAAAGUAUGGCAGAAACCAUCCAUGUUAUAGAAGUCAGACAGAGUGGGGAAAAAGAGAGGAUAUGCUUUUGUGACUUUUGAUGAUCAUGACACAGAUGAUAAAAUUGUUGAGAAAUACUGCACUGCCAAUGGGUAUAAUUGUGAAGUGAAAAGGGCUUGCUUCUAAACAAGAGAUGCAUCUGCUGACCACAGAGAGACCACAGAGAGGUCUCUCAAUGGACGUAAUUGUGAAGAAGAGGUGCAGUCUGCUGGAGCGUAGAGAGGGUGGGGAGGUGGAUAUGGCAGCUUAUGGGUCACGGAGGAAACUUUGGAGCAUCCAACAAGCGGGCUAGCCUGCCAUCAGCCAGGGGUUCUCUGCCUGCCUCCCAUCUUGCCGUGCGAGCCCUGGAAUUACAAAUGUGUGCUACCCUGUCUGGCUUUUAUAAGGGUUCUAGGCCUCUGAACUCAAGUCUUCAUGCUUGCAAGCCUAGGAUCUUACCCACUGAGCCGUCUCCCCAGCCCCCAUAGACCUCUUGAGUCUCCUUAUAAAGCGAAACUCAUGGAAUUCAAUGACUGGGCUGGGAGGAGUUAGGGACUGACCCUAGAAAACAAACAAGCUUUUGGUUUGGUUUGGCUGCACUUAUGAAGUCCACUGUCACCCAGCAGUGACCCCAUCCUGGUGUGGAAAGAGCUAGAACAGUAAGGGGUUGCCACCCAUGGAGAGCCACUAAUCUGAAGGCCUUGGUGGAGAGCACGCUCACUUCCCCAGAUGCAAUCCUGCCUGUGUCGAAAGGGGCCUUGGGUCACCCUUUCUCUUUGUGCAACCAGGUCAAGAGAACAGUUUCUGCUUCUUCAUCUGCUUCUUUCUUGAAAAACAAAAAGUUAAAGAUUUUACUUGUUUUACUUUAUGUGUAUGAGUGUUUUGCCUGUGUGUAUGUCUGGGCACCACAGGCAUACAUGGAGGUCAGAAGAGGGUGUCGUAUCCCUUAAAACUGGAGUUAUGGCAUCAACGGGAGUUCUGGGGACAAGAGCAAUAAACGCUUUUAAUCACCGA